UACGUAGGGUGCAAGCGUUGUCCGGAAUGAUUGGGCGUAAAGAGCUCGUAGGCGGUUUGUCGCGUCUGCUGUGAAAACUCGGGGCUUAACUCCGGGCCUGCAGUGGGUACGGGCAGACUAGAGUGCGGUAGGGGAGGCUGGAAUUCCUGGUGUAGCGGUGAAAUGCGCAGAUAUCAGGAGGAACACCGGUGGCGAAGGCGGGUCUCUGGGCCGUAACUGACGCUGAGGAGCGAAGGCGUGGGGAGCGAACAGG
Molecule: ribosomal RNA, 253 nt
Filed under: uncultured bacterium
Lineage: Bacteria
Description: partial 16S ribosomal RNA
Rfam family: Bacterial small subunit ribosomal RNA
Source: RNAcentral